AUGGUAGAGGAGCGUUCUGUAAGCGGUUGAAGGUGCAUCGAGAGGUGUGCUGGACGUAUCAGAAGUGCGAAUGCUGACAUGAGUAACGAUAAGGGAGGUGAAAAACCUCCCCGCCGAAAGAUCAAGGUUUCCUGUCCAACGUUAAUCGGGACAGGGUGAGUCGGCCCCUAAGGCGAGGGCGAAAGCCGUAGUCGAUGGGAAACCGGUUAAAAUUCCGGUACCGACUCUUACUGCGAUGGGGUGACGGAGAAGGCUAGGCUGGCAGGGUGUUGGUUGUCCCUGUUUAAGCGAGUAGGUAGGGGGCUUAGGUAAAUCCGGGCCCUCGUUAAUCUGAGACGCGAUGACGAUCUCCUGGGGAAACCCUCGAGAGAAGCAGUCGAUGCCAUACUUCCAGGAAAAACCUCUAAGCUUCAGGUAAGAGUUGACCGUACUGUAAACCGACACAGGUGAUCAGGUAGAGAAUACCAAGGCGCUUGAGAGAACUU
RNAcentral lists this ribosomal RNA (485 nucleotides) under Lingulaulax polyedra. RNAcentral describes it as "Lingulodinium polyedra partial Bacterial large subunit ribosomal RNA". It matches the Rfam family "Bacterial large subunit ribosomal RNA", at positions 1225 to 1701 of the family's 2925-position model. Lineage: Eukaryota; Dinophyceae; Gonyaulacales; Lingulodiniaceae. The record is from RNAcentral.